GGUUCCAUGGUGUAAUGGUUAGCACUCUGGACUCUGAAUCCAGAAUAUGGUACCC
Molecule: transfer RNA, 55 nt
Filed under: Chlorocebus sabaeus (green monkey)
Lineage: Eukaryota; Metazoa; Chordata; Mammalia; Primates; Cercopithecidae
Source: Rfam by way of RNAcentral